Molecule: ribosomal RNA, 497 nt
Filed under: uncultured bacterium
Lineage: Bacteria
Description: partial 16S ribosomal RNA
Rfam family: Bacterial small subunit ribosomal RNA
Source: RNAcentral
GAUGAACGCUGGCGGUGUGCCUAAUACAUGCAAGUCGAGCGAACAGAUGAGGAGCUUACUCCUCUGACGUUAGCGGCGGACGGGUGAGUAACACGUGGAUAACCUACCUAUAAGACUGGGAUAACUUCGGGAAACCGGAGCUAAUACCGGAUAACAUGUUGAACCGCAUGGUUCAACAGUGAAAGACGGUCUUGCUGUCACUUAUAGAUGGAUCCGCGUCGCAUUAGCUAGUUGGUAAGGUAACGGCUUACCAAGGCAACGAUGCGUAGCCGACCUGAGAGGGUGAUCGGCCACACUGGAACUGAGACACGGUCCAGACUCCUACGGGAGGAAGCAGUAGGGAAUCUUCCGCAAUGGGCGAAAGCCUGACGGAGCAACGCCGCGUGAGUGAAGAAGGUCUUCGGAUCGUAAAACUCUGUUAUUAGGGAAGAACAAAUGUGUAAGUAACUAUGCACGUCUUGACGGUACCUAAUCAGAAAGCCACGGCUAACUACGUG